AUACGUAGGUGGCGAGCGUUAUCCGGAUUUACUGGGUGUAAAGGGUGUGUAGGCGGGGAGGCAAGUCAGAUGUGAAAACUACGGGCUCAACCCGUAACUUGCGUCUGAAACUGUUUCCCUUGAGAGUGGGAGAGGUAGAUGGAAUUCCCGGUGUAGCGGUGGAAUGCGUAGAUAUCGGGAGGAACACCGGUGGCGAAGGCGAUCUACUGGACCAUUACUGACGCUGAGACACGAAAGCGUGGGGAGCAAACAGGAUUAGAUACCCUGGUAGUCCACGCCCUAAACGAUGAACACUAGGUGUGGGGGACGUUACGUCUUCCGUGCCGCAGUUAACACAAUAAGUGUUCCACCUGGGGAGUACGGCCGCAAGGUUGAAACUCAAAUGAAUUGGCGGGG
This 396-nucleotide ribosomal RNA is filed under the name uncultured bacterium. Its description in RNAcentral is "partial 16S ribosomal RNA". It matches the Rfam family "Bacterial small subunit ribosomal RNA", at positions 523 to 918 of the family's 1533-position model. The record is from RNAcentral.